RNAcentral lists this ribosomal RNA (499 nucleotides) under uncultured bacterium. Its description in RNAcentral is "partial 16S ribosomal RNA". It matches the Rfam family "Bacterial small subunit ribosomal RNA", at positions 28 to 507 of the family's 1533-position model. The record is from RNAcentral.
GACGAACGCUGGCGGCGUGCCUAAUACAUGCAAGUCGAGCGAAGUUUUUCUGGUGCUUGCACUAGAAAAACUUAGCGGCGAACGGGUGAGUAACACGUAAAGAACCUGCCUCAUAGACUGGGACAACUAUUGGAAACGAUAGCUGAUACCGGAUAACAGUAUUUCUCGCAUGGGAGAUAUUUAAAAGUUGGUUAUGCUAACACUAUGAGAUGGCUUUGCGGUGCAUUAGCUAGUUGGUGGGGUAAAGGCCCACCAAGGCGACGAUGCAUGGCCGACCUGAGAGGGUGAUCGGCCACACUGGGACUGAGACACGGCCCAGACUCCUACGGGAGGCAGCAGUAGGGAAUCUUCCGCAAUGGGCGAAAGCCUGACGGAGCAACGCCGCGUGAGUGAAGAAGGAUUUCGGUUCGUAAAGCUCUGUUGUUAGGGAAGAAUGGAUAUGUAGUAACUAUACAUGUAAGAGACGGUACCUAACCAGAAAGCCACGGCUAACUACGUG